RNAcentral lists this ribosomal RNA (1331 nucleotides) under metagenome. RNAcentral's name for it is "bacterial SSU rRNA". It matches the Rfam family "Bacterial small subunit ribosomal RNA", at positions 8 to 1360 of the family's 1533-position model. The record is from RNAcentral.
AGAGUUUGAUCCUGGCUCAGGACGAACGCUGGCGGCGCGACUAACACAUGCAAGUCGAACGAGCGAGAGAGAGCUUGCUUUCUCGAGCGAGUGGCGAACGGGUGAGUAACGCGUGAGGAACCUGCCUCAAAGAGGGGGACAACAGUUGGAAACGACUGCUAAUACCGCAUAAGCCCACGGGUCGGCAUCGACCAGAGGGAAAAGGAGCAAUCCGCUUCGAGAUGGCCUCGCGUCCGAUUAGCUAGUUGGUGAGGUAACGGCCCACCAAGGCGACGAUCGGUAGCCGGACUGAGAGGUUGAACGGCCACAUUGGGACUGAGACACGGCCCAGACUCCUACGGGAGGCAGCAGUGGGGAAUAUUGCACAAUGGGGGAAACCCUGAUGCAGCGACGCCGCGUGGAGGAAGAAGGUCUUCGGACUGUAAACUCCUGUUGUUGAGGAAGAUAAUGACGGUACUCAACAAGGAAGUGACGGCUAACUACGUGCCAGCAGCCGCGGUAAAACGUAGGUCACAAGCGUUGUCCGGAAUUACUGGGUGUAAAGGGAGCGCAGGCGGGAAGACAAGUUGGAAGUGAAAUCCAUGGGCUUAACCCAUGAACUGCUUUCAAAACUGUUUUUCUUGAGUAGUGCAGAGGUAGGCGGAAUUCCCGGUGUAGCGGUGGAAUGCGUAGAUAUCGGGAGGAACACCAGUGGCGAAGGCGGCCUACUGGGCACCAACUGACGCUGAGGCUCGAAAGUGUGGGUAGCAAACAGGAUUAGAUACCCUGGUAGUCCACACCGUAAACGAUGAUUACUAGGUGUUGGAGGAUUGACCCCUUCAGUGCCGCAGUUAACACAAUAAGUAAUCCACCUGGGGAGUACGACCGCAAGGUUGAAACUCAAAGGAAUUGACGGGGGCCCGCACAAGCAGUGGAGUAUGUGGUUUAAUUCGACGCAACGCGAAGAACCUUACCAAGUCUUGACAUCCGUUGACCGCUGUAGAAAUACAGUUUUCCUUCGGGACAGCGAGACAGGUGGUGCAUGGUUGUCGUCAGCUCGUGUCGUGAGAUGUUGGGUUAAGUCCCGCAACGAGCGCAACCCUUAUGGUCAGUUACUACGCAAGAGGACUCUUGCCAGACUGCCGUUGACAAAACGGAGGAAGGUGGGGAUGACGUCAAAUCAUCAUGCCCUUUAUGACUUGGGCUACACACGUACUACAAUGGCGUUAAACAAAGAGAAGCAAGACCGCGAGGUGGAGCAAAACUCAGAAACAACGUCCCAGUUCGGACUGCAGGCUGCAACUCGCCUGCACGAAGCCGGAAUUGCUAGUAAUCGUGGAUCAGCAUGCCAC